This 495-nucleotide ribosomal RNA is filed under the name uncultured bacterium. RNAcentral's name for it is "partial 16S ribosomal RNA". It matches the Rfam family "Bacterial small subunit ribosomal RNA", at positions 28 to 507 of the family's 1533-position model. The record is from RNAcentral.
GACGAACGCUGGCGGCGUGCCUAAUACAUGCAAGUAGAACGCUGAAGGAGGAGCUUGCUUCUCUGGAUGAGUUGCGAACGGGUGAGUAACGCGUAGGUAACCUGCCUGGUAGCGGGGGAUAACUAUUGGAAACGAUAGCUAAUACCGCAUAAUAGUAGAUGUUGCAUGACAUUUACUUAAAAGGUGCAAUUGCAUCACUACCAGAUGGACCUGCGUUGUAUUAGCUAGUUGGUGGGGUAACGGCUCACCAAGGCGACGAUACAUAGCCGACCUGAGAGGGGGAUCGGCCACACUGGGACUGAGACACGGCCCAGACUCCUACGGGAGGCAGCAGUAGGGAAGCUUCGGCAAUGGACGAAAGGCUGACCGAGCAACGCCGCGGGAGUGAAGAAGGGUUUCGGAUCGUAAAGCUCGGUUGUAAGAGAAGAACGAGUGUGAGAGUGGAAAGUUCACACUGUGACGGUAGCUUACCAGAAAGGGACGGCUAACUACGUG